UGUUAUUCAAUUGCUGGCGAGCGAGACGAGCUGGAGGUUGAGGCUGGCCGCGAUACAGACGAUGCCCGGCGCGGGGGCUGCGAUCUCCGGCGAGAUCCGGUCGAGGAGGCGAGGCCGAGGCGAUCCGGUCGAGGAGGCGAGGCCGAGGCGAUCCGGUCGAGGAGGCGAGGCCGAGGCGAUCUAGGAGGCGCGGGAGCAGGUCCAGCGGCGGAGCUUCAACUCCAAGUACAUGGCAGCGGCGUUCCUCGCCGGUUCCGAGCGAGAUGGGGCUGCGAUGCAGACGAUGUUGGGCGCGGCGGCGGCAAUCUCUGGCCAGAUCCGGUCGAGGAGGCGAGGUAGGGGCCGGAUUAUGUUUUGGGGACGACAUGGAGGCGAUCUACAAGGCGCGGGAGGAGGUCCAGCGGCAGGGCUUCAACUCCAGCGGGCCCCCUUUCGAUGGACGGGGCCGCCCACAUCGCCGGUGACUCCCCGGAGGCCAACAGGGCCUCCUCCUCCGCGUCCUCGACCGACUCGGCCUCCCGGCGCUCCCGACCGCGGAAGGGGAUUCACCUGCGGCGGCGCCGGCGACUGUUGUUCGCUCGGAGAGGAGAGGGCGGCGAAGGUGACGGUAAGGACGCCGAUGACGACGUGCAGGACCUCGCACUGUCGCCGGGGAUGUCCUUCGCGGUGGUUCUCGCCCAGCCAGAGGCUCAACAUCAGGGGCCGCGUAUACCCAGCGAUGCUCCCCGUCGACGGCAACAAAGUCCCCGGAAAGGUUUGGAAGGGGAUCACUGAUGGGGAGUUCAAUGUGCUGGACACAUUUGAAGAUGAACAGUAUGUGAGGGAAGUUGUUGGCAUCUCACUGACUGAUUCGGCGGAUACAAUGAUGGCCUAUGCAUACAUAUGGGGGAAUGUAGAUGAUCCUGACCUCUAUAGUGAAUGGGAUUUUGACGUCGACGGCCCUGCCGACGCAAGGGAUCUCGGGUCGCCGUCGCCAUUUGGGAGCUCCCUCUCCUUCAUGCCUUCUUACCGUGGUGCCAGGGAUCAACGGCCGGACGCCAGCAUGACGGAGCUAUUGUGCUGCUGCCUCAGGUCGUCCAGGCUCGUCCUCGGUCCCAGCCACCCAUCAUCAAGAUCCGACGUCCUCUGUCCUUUUUUCCGAUUGAUGGUCUUCCAUGACCAGGGCCCCCAAGCUAAGGAGUAACAUGCUGCAGCUUCUGCCCACCACCAUGCAUGAGACAUGGAAAUCUAGAAAGUUGUAGAGAGGCUGAAUCUACAUCAGAACAACGGCAAGUUAACAAACGAGGAGGUUGGAGUUGUACUGUGACUACUGUUAGAUCUGGUUUUGCACUUCCGAAUUUUAUUUGAGAAUGAAUCUCGAAGGUAUAUUUUCUGCAAAGUGCUAGUGCCCUCCUACAGAUGACAAGAUUUUCUUCUUUUAAUUGUAAUGAGGCAUGAGCCACAAACUCUUCAUAGAACUUUGAAGCAAAAUAUUGAUCCCCUGCAUGCAUAUAUGAUUGCAAACCAAUUUUUUUUAAAUCCGUUCCUUUUUACAAUAAUAUUUUCCUGGGUGAUGUAACAUAAGUAUAUUAUUGGUACAAUUAAGUGAUAUGAUUAGUACUUGAUUUAUCUGGGCAUAAAAAUGUCUGAGAUAAUAGCUCUAGCACUCAUGCCCACAAUUUGAAAAUGGUAGGACUAUCCUUGACCCAUAUAGAAGUGAUAACCCCCCCCCCCCCCACACACACACACAUAUAGCGUUUUCCCCGUUGCAACGCACGGGCAUUUUUGCUAGUAUAUAUCUAAUAUUAUAGACAGUUUUUGGUCAGUUGCAUUUUACAUGCUUUUCUCCUUCAUAAGCUCCGCCACACCUGAAAAUUAUUUCUGCAUUCGACACUGACAGCAAAGGCACACUGUUUUGCAAAAAAAGUGAAACAGAAAAAUAAGCCGAUGUCGUGCCUUUUUAUCAAUUGGAUGCAUUUUUUUUCUCUCAUGUGGUUCUCUCUUAAGUAGUGUUGAUUCACUAUGGCUCCAUAUACUUGCGGUUGGGCUAUGCGAUCCGAGAUGAACGAGAAAUGCACGCUCUUCAUCCUGGUUUGGCCCCAUGGCAGGAUGGCAAUGCUUUUGAUCAGCAUCGUUGUGCCUCCUAGUGUCGUCGCCUGUUUUGCUGCCAUGGCAGCACUUUCUUUGAAUUAGGGUGCUAACAUCCCCUCCUUGAGAUACGGCUUGAUCCCAAGCCAAUAGAGCAGGGCGCGCUCCUUCGGGUGAAUUGUGUCUUCCUAGGUGGCGUCGAAGACGGUGGGAUCGGACCAAUGAACGAAGAUCCGCUCCCUCCGUUCAGUUGGAAUCAUUCUCUGGCGCUGGUGAUGACUUCAACGGGAGAGAGCACGACUUCUUAUGGUUUUGGCAGCUCCGUCGUUGCAGUGGUACCUGGGGUAAGAGCCUAUCGGAGUAGUGGACUUGGAAGAUAGGUGGACCUUUGAUACAUCUCGAACGCAUCUACUUUUCCUAACGCCUUUCCUCUUGUUUUGGACUCUAAUUUGCAUGAUUUGAAUGAAACUAACCCCGACCUAACGCUGUUUUCAGCAGAACUACCAUGGUGUUGUUUUUGUGCAGAAAUGAAAGUUCUCGGAAUGGAAUGGAACUUUGCGAGGAUUUUUUAUAUCAAAUAAGAAAAUUUCUGGAGUCAGGAGGUAGCUGAGGGGGGCACCUGGGUGGGCACAACCCACCAGGGUGCGCCAGCCCCCCCCCCCCCCAAGCGCACCCUGGUGGGUGCU
This is an RNA transcript of Triticum aestivum (bread wheat), 2753 nucleotides long. RefSeq lists it as uncharacterized. The transcript is spliced from 7 exons. The record is from RefSeq and is a predicted model, not a curated record. Lineage: Eukaryota; Viridiplantae; Streptophyta; Magnoliopsida; Poales; Poaceae.